Myodes glareolus (Bank vole) is the source of this 111-nucleotide small nuclear RNA. Lineage: Eukaryota; Metazoa; Chordata; Mammalia; Rodentia; Cricetidae. The record is from RefSeq and is a predicted model, not a curated record.
GGGCACUCACUUGGGCCGCACACAUACUAAACUUGGAAAAACACAGAGAAUAUUAGCAUAUAGCCCGGGGCAAAGGGUGACACACAAAUCUGUGAGGCAGUCCAUCUUAAC